Molecule: unclassified non-coding RNA, 230 nt
Filed under: Hevea brasiliensis (rubber tree)
Lineage: Eukaryota; Viridiplantae; Streptophyta; Magnoliopsida; Malpighiales; Euphorbiaceae
Source: RNAcentral
UCUCUUGCCACUAGAGAAAAUCUCUUCGUUCGCUACUGUGCCCCUUCUUCAGUGUGUUCUAUCUGUAAUUAGUGCCUAAAAACCUUGGAACAUUUACUAUUUUUUGGUAGUCAUGCUAAGUUAGCUUGGUUCGGAUCAGCUCUUGGCUUUUGUUCUAGGGAGGAGGGCUUUGUUUCUUUUGUAAAACGGUGGAAGUCACUUUUUGACAUGUCUCUAUCUAUGGAUAGUAG